GGGGAUAUAGCUCAUUGGGUAGAGCACUUGCCUAGUAUGCGGAAGAUCCUGGGUUUGAUCCCCAACACCACCA
RNAcentral lists this transfer RNA (73 nucleotides) under Urocitellus parryii (Arctic ground squirrel). RNAcentral describes it as "Spermophilus parryii (Arctic ground squirrel) tRNA". It matches the Rfam family "tRNA". Rfam says of the family: Transfer RNA (tRNA) molecules are approximately 80 nucleotides in length. Their secondary structure includes four short double-helical elements and three loops (D, anti-codon, and T loops). Further hydrogen bonds mediate the characteristic L-shaped molecular structure. tRNAs have two regions of fundamental functional importance: the anti-codon, which is responsible for specific mRNA codon recognition, and the 3' end, to which the tRNAs corresponding amino acid is attached (by aminoacyl-tRNA synthetases). tRNAs cope with the degeneracy of the genetic code in two manners: having more than one tRNA (with a specific anti-codon) for a particular amino acid; and 'wobble' base-pairing, i.e. permitting non-standard base-pairing at the 3rd anti-codon position. The record is from Rfam by way of RNAcentral. RNAcentral also lists the same sequence under 2 other names. Lineage: Eukaryota; Metazoa; Chordata; Mammalia; Rodentia; Sciuridae.